This 267-nucleotide ribosomal RNA is filed under the name uncultured bacterium. RNAcentral describes it as "partial small subunit ribosomal RNA". It matches the Rfam family "Bacterial small subunit ribosomal RNA", at positions 26 to 281 of the family's 1533-position model. The record is from RNAcentral.
AGAAUCAACGCUGGCGGCGUGCCUAACACAUGCAAGUCGAACGCGGUUACCCCGCAAGGGGUGACUGAGUGGCAAACGGGUGAGUAACGCGUGGGUGACCUACCUUCGAGUGGGGGAUAACGUUUCGAAAGGAACGCUAAUACCGCAUGACAUCCUGCCUUUGGACAGGCGGAGAUCAAAGCCGGGGAUCGCAAGACCUGGCGCUUAAAGAGGGGCCCGCGUCCGAUUAGCUAGUUGGUGGGGUAACGGCUCACCAAGGCGACGAUC